RNA transcript from Lycium barbarum (goji berry), 3276 nucleotides. RefSeq lists it as uncharacterized. Lineage: Eukaryota; Viridiplantae; Streptophyta; Magnoliopsida; Solanales; Solanaceae. The transcript is spliced from 3 exons. The record is from RefSeq and is a predicted model, not a curated record.
UAAGUUGAUGAACAAGGCUAAUAGUGAUUAGUAAUAAAGAAACAAAGUUCCAAUGACCUUUUUGAUAGUGAAUUUGAUCCGAGUAAUCAUCAUCAAAGAAGACUUUAGCAAAUUGCAAGUAUCAAACCAUUUCAUCAAGGAUGAUUCACUCUUUCAUGAAACCAUGGGUAACGACUAUCCAAAGAGAGAUAUAUAAUAUAAUAAUACAAAGAAAACCAAGUUUCAAAUUGACAGGAGAUCUAAUGUCUUGACUCUUCUAAACCUCGCAUUUCCCAAAAUUGCUUCUUCUUCUCUAAAUUUAGAAAAAAUAUGGAGGAUGGAGAUGACUGGAUAGCCCCUGAUAAGGUUUACCACGUUCUUUUCUGCUUCUUCAUUGCUAUGAUUACGACUGUUCUGGCAGAAAGAGCUCGGUACCCUUUCAUCCGGAGAAGGAGCAUCUUGAUCGGAUCCAUAGUCUCCCUCGCUGCCGGCGCCGCUAAGGAGGUCGCCGACGAAUUAGGUUAUUUCAGGUCAGCAGGUGCGUCUACCAAGGAUGCUGUUGCCGAUGUCUUUGGCACUCUUAUCGCUGCUUUCGCUUUAUCUCUCUAUAAAAAAUCAUCCUUCAUUCACCGCACAACCGAUCAAUCCCUUCAAGCUAAAGCACUCCAGAUGGUUUAAUCCGUUACUCGACUUAAAUGGAUCAUUCAAUUUGAUAAAUACAUGGAGUCUCUUCACCAAAUUGUACUAGGAGCAGCAAAAACUCAAUGAACACACUUAAGAUGCAAAAUUAACGGGACAUGCUAAGCUUAAACAGAGCAAGAGUUGCAGAUAAUUACCCGGCAAUUAGUAUGUUGAGCAUGACAGUGGCUCCUACUGCAAUUCCUGCAUGCUUUCCCACCUGGAGUUUGCCAAGAAAGACGAUAAUGCUAGGGAGACAGGAGCAGGAGGUAACGUGCAUGAAACAGCCGGCAAGGUUCCAUCUUCCGAGGCCCAUGCUUCCAUACCGAAGCAUUUGCAGCUCUUGAGAAAGGAUUUUAUGCCCUUUUUUCUCUCAUGAUUGAAACUAUCAAAGAGAGGAACACGGGGAGCUCCUGGAUUUUCUGGUUCUGAAGGGGCUGACACACCUUCUUCAGGGUCCAUGCUAUUAUUAGUAACUGGAAAAACAAGUACAAAUAACAGCUAGACAAGUUUGAGUUAACUCUAGCUCCUUUGUCCUUGUGACUAGUGAUCACAGUGAGCCUCCAAUGAAUACUAUUUAUAUAUAGUGCUAAUUGCAUCAUCAGCCAUUAAGAAUGUUUGACUUGGAUAAUCCCAAGAGAUGAGAGAAAGUUAGUGGAUAUUGAAAAGGGAAGUGGGAUUUGCAAGUGGAAAAAGUGGGGCGCCAAUCACAAACCUUUGCAUUUGGAAUUUAAAGGGUCGAAGCAUUUGAACUCUAGACAUCAGUCAUGUAUUUCCUGUUUCCCACUUGAUCUUGUUAUUAAUUAACACAAGAUCCUGUACCAUACAAUCAUGCAGCUGACUAUUUUGCUCCAGCUACGUAGCAGGUGUUUGGACAUAUAGAUUGGUUGAUAUUUGUAAAAAUAAAAAUAGAAUUUGAAGUGAAGUUGAAAUUUUUUAUUGCAGCAGUAGACUGAGCACCAGGGCAAGCCUUGCAAGCAUUACGUGAAUUGUUUUUGUUUUUCUCUGUUAGGAUCUUCAUGAGUACAUUGCUCUUGGGAGCAGCUCCUAUAGAAACAUACAUUGCAUGUAAAUUGCUUUCACAAUUGGAUGCCAUUUCACUCUAAAUCUUAUGUCUUCAAUAAUUGAUUUUUCUUUCAAGUUUGAGAUCAUGUUUUUAUCUAAUUUUCAUUUCAUUGAUGAAUUAAUUAUAUGCACAUCACCCUCGGUAGAAUAGUUGUCAUUAGGACUUUGGAUCUUGUUUCUGCUGUAUUGUUUGUCCUAAGCUUAAGAGCCAAAUCUACUAACGAAAGCAGAUUUUGGACUUUUAUUUUUAUAGUACCUCUUUUAAAAAAUAUUCCCUCCAUCCCAAAAUAAGUGUCAUCUUAGCAAAAAGCACGACCAUUAAGAAAUCUAUAAAUAUAAUGGCGAGUUUACUAAACUACCUCUAUUUAUUAGAUGUUUUUUGAAAAUUGAGCAAUAUUAAAGAGAAAUGCUUCUUUAAUGCUAAGGGCAAAGUCGAAAACACUUGUCAAUUUUUGUCUUGAAUUCUUAAGGUGACACUUAUUUUGGGAUAAUUUUUUUUUUUUUUGCUAAGGUGACACUUUUUUUUUUUUUUUUUGAUUUUUUUUGAUAAAGGUAACAUAAGGUGACACUUAUUUUGGGACAGAGGGAGCAGUUGAAUUUGCUUUUACAUGGAUUUAGCAGUCCAGUGACAUACCAAGUAAAUCAUCCUUCUUUCUUGGAUGACCAAGAUAAUUGAAAAUUGAAAGUUAUUGAAUAUGUGAAGAUCUUAGUAGAAUAAGAUUGGACAAAUUUAUUUGCCAGCCUCCAACUUCUGAUCUGUUUUCUUUGCUGCACAUCACCUUGUUAUUAUAUGUAGUAAUCUCAGAGAUCUCUGAGGUAAAUGAUCAAUACUGAAACAUGCUUAUGAAAGGGAGAAAAAAAAAAGAAAAAAAAAGAAGUGUUGUUGGUAAAAAUUAAUAGUUAAAUCAGCAGUGUACAAACAGAGGUAACAGUUUCAUGCCAGGUUGAACUCAACACAGAAAGCAGCUCUCUGAAUGCAGAAACAAUUUUUUUUUAAUAUGAUAAUAAGUUGAAUUCCCCUGUGCCAAUUUGGCAAUACUUUAUGAAUGAACAAUACUUCUUUCUAUUUUGGUAGUCUCAUGGAUAAACUAUUCUGUCAUAUUUUGGAUCUGUUGCAGCGCAAUUUAGCUGGCUUCCUAAUUAUUUACCAUGGCUGGAAUUUUGAAGAAGAGAGCCGCGCACUGAAAUGAUGUAGGAGAAAAAGCAUGGAACAAGAAACUACUCACUCAGCCGCACUUCAUACCCCUCGAAGAUCAGACAGAUGAAGAAAAAAAGAAGAAUUUCCACUUCAUAUGGCACUAGUUCUGUGAACGGAAACACAUGUUAUACAGAAAUCUAUUAUACAAUCCAGUAAAAACUAACCAAUUCUACAAAUCCCAUAAAUUUGCCUAUAGUAGCUCUUCUCAAACAUAGGCACCAAUGCUCAUUCCUUUCUUUCCUCUCUCCAUCAUUAUAUCCUGCUCUUAUCCGUUCUUUGAUAAGUUUUAUCUUGCUCAAAAUCUGUACAUUUGGAGAGAGUGGAAAGAUUUUGUUUUAUUCAACCCACCCUUGCCU